UACGAAGGGGGCUAGCGUUGCUCGGAAUUACUGGGCGUAAAGCGCGUGUAGGUGGCGAUGUAAGUCGGGUGUGAAAUCCCUCAGCUUAACUGAGGAAGUGCACUCGAUACUGUGUCGCUUGAGUGUUGGAGGGGAUGGCGGAAUUCCCGGUGUAGAGGUGAAAUUCGUAGAUAUCGGGAGGAACACCUGUGGCGAAGGCGGCCAUCUGGACAACUACUGACACUGAGACGCGAAAGCGUGGGUAGCAAACAGG
This 253-nucleotide ribosomal RNA is filed under the name uncultured bacterium. RNAcentral describes it as "partial 16S ribosomal RNA". It matches the Rfam family "Bacterial small subunit ribosomal RNA", at positions 524 to 776 of the family's 1533-position model. The record is from RNAcentral.